GCUUGCAGCCAUAUCACUCUGCAACUCGCAACUGACAACACAGUGAAGCUCAGCAGGUGUGAGCCUGGCCAGUACCUGGAUGGGAGACCUCCUGGGAAAAACGAAGGGUGCUGCUUGAA
This 119-nucleotide ribosomal RNA is filed under the name Lepisosteus oculatus (spotted gar). The record is from RNAcentral. Lineage: Eukaryota; Metazoa; Chordata; Actinopteri; Semionotiformes; Lepisosteidae.